CUGCCACCAAAACUUUUACAAUCCUAUUAGAGUUCUAGAGCCUUCUACCUGCAAGACGACAAGUAGCCUAGCCACUUGCUCCUCUACUCCCUCCUCCAUUAAGCGAGAUCUCCGAUCUCAAUAACCUCAGGAUGUGUGUACCAUUAUUUUGUUAGAUUUAGGUAUUUUAUGCAUGCAGAUUUCAAAAUAAUUUUUUGUAAUAAGUAGCAGAAGACUAGAUUAAAACACUUUUAAUCUACAUAUGCGUAGAUCUAAUCUAAACACCUACAUAUCUAGUUUAUAUGAUGAAAAUAAAAUAAUCAUGCAUCUGAUUUCAAAAUGAAAAUAAUCUGGUGAUCGAAUCACCUACCUAUAGCACUAUUUUUUUUCUUCAAGAUUUGGAUCUGAAGAUGUCUAUAGGCUCUGAUGAAGCUACACACAUAUCCGACCUCUACGGAUAUCCACACGGGACUGAUAU
This 457-nucleotide long non-coding RNA is filed under the name Elaeis guineensis (African oil palm). RNAcentral's name for it is "long non-coding RNA (EGUI_LNC014406)". Lineage: Eukaryota; Viridiplantae; Streptophyta; Magnoliopsida; Arecales; Arecaceae. The record is from RNAcentral.